GCUCAGGACGAACGCUGGCGGCGUGCUAAUACAUGCAAGUCGAACGCGUCUCCGUUAAUGAUUUUAGGUGCUUGCACUUGAAAGAUUUAACAUUGAGACGAGUGGCGAACUGGUGAGUAACACGUGGGUAACCUGCCCUUGAAGUAGGGGAUAACACUUGGAAACAGGUGCUAAUACCGUAUAACAACCAAAACCACCUGGUUUUGGUUUAAAAGACGGCUUCGGCUGUCACUUUAGGAUGGACCCGCGGCGUAUUAGCUUGUUGGUAAGGUAACGGCCUACCAAGGCGAUGAUACGUAGCCGACCUGAGAGGGUAAUCGGCCACAUUGGGACUGAGACACGGCCCAAACUCCUACGGGAGGCAGCAGUAGGGAAUCUUCCACAAUGGACGAAAGUCUGAUGGAGCAACGCCGCGUGAGUGAUGAAGGGUUUCGGCUCGUAAAACUCUGUUGUUGGAGAAGAACAGGUGUCAGAGUAACUGUUGACAUCUUGACGGUAUCCAACCAGAAAGCCACGGCUAACUACGUGCCAGCAGCCGCGGUAAUACGUAGGUGGCAAGCGUUGUCCGGAUUUAUUGGGCGUAAAGCGAGCGCAGGCGGUUUUUUAGGUCUGAUGUGAAAGCCUUCGGCUUAACCGGAGAAGUGCAUCGGAAACCGGGAGACUUGAGUGCAGAAGAGGACAGUGGAACUCCAUGUGUAGCGGUGAAAUGCGUAGAUAUAUGGAAGAACACCAGUGGCGAAGGCGGCUGUCUGGUCUGUAACUGACGCUGAGGCUCGAAAG
RNAcentral lists this ribosomal RNA (780 nucleotides) under Lentilactobacillus buchneri. RNAcentral's name for it is "bacterial SSU rRNA". It matches the Rfam family "Bacterial small subunit ribosomal RNA", at positions 22 to 759 of the family's 1533-position model. The record is from RNAcentral. Lineage: Bacteria; Bacillati; Bacillota; Bacilli; Lactobacillales; Lactobacillaceae.